This 1090-nucleotide long non-coding RNA is filed under the name Apteryx rowi (Okarito brown kiwi). RNAcentral describes it as "lncRNA (ENSARWG00000008200.1)". The record is from RNAcentral. Lineage: Eukaryota; Metazoa; Chordata; Aves; Apterygiformes; Apterygidae.
CAGAGAACUUCUCCAGGAUAUCUUGMGGUACCUCCACCGCAUCGGGCUUAUCAUAUGGUAUGAGGAAAUCAAGCAUCUGGAAAACACGGUCUUUCUCCAGCCUACCUUCCUUAUAACUAUGUUCAAGCUCCUUGUAAGGUACCGCCUAGUCCAGCAGCUUGAGAGCAUCUCUGUGGACACGCUCAUAGGGGAACACUCUACCAUCAGGGACAGGUCCAACUGGGUGUGGACCUUCAAGUCGAAGGCGAUGCUGUGCCACCGGGCAGUGCGUGCUUUGGUCAAGUACCAGCUCUAUUCGAAAGGGAUGCAGGACAUCUUUGAGGAAAUAAUGGGACACGAGCCCCACGGAAGGAGAGGGAAACUGUUUAGCCUCCUGGAGCACUUUGAGAUCUGCCUGGAAGUGAGGAAAGCUGAAGCUCUCAACCCAGAGGCCAGUGAGUUUGUGCCUGGGAAGCCAUGGGAGACAGCACGAGGCCAUGGGGAGUCCUGGUACUUGUUCCCAACCUACCUGAACCAGACUGAAGAGGUUUCUGAGGUGUGGGGAGGAGAUCACCCUGAGGACCUCCAUAUCCGGGCCUAUUUCUCACCUGAAAUACCUGAGGGCUUCUUUCAGAGGUUCCUGGUGAAAGCUUGCUCCUUCUACUCCACACACUGGGUGGCCAAGGUGACCUGCCUGCUCAUAUGCAAUGGCAAACCCUUGCUGAUCAAAGAGAAUAACCAGAGGGCCUACAGCUACCUAGAGCUCCGGUGCAGAAAGCCAGCAGAAAGGAUGGAAUUUCGGUCUGCCUGGGACUUCCUCAUAGCCAUCGUGUUCAUCAGCCAGAAGCUUUCGGAGCAGUGGCCAGGGCUGCAUGUCUGUGUGAAGACACCUUGCCGAACUGCUGGGUGUCCCGCGGAGCUUAUGUGGCCGGACAUGGAUGGCAAAAACAUUGUGACGAAGGAAGAAGUUAAAACUUGUGGAACAUGCGGUCAUCGGUUUCGAGCAGAACUGCUCUUACCCAGAGGUGAGGCCAACGUUUGUGGGUUUGGGCUGUAAGAUAGCUAGGGGUGGUGGACAAAAAGUCACUCCUGUGUCCCGUGUGUGGGAAGG